This 867-nucleotide ribosomal RNA is filed under the name Rhizopus arrhizus. RNAcentral's name for it is "bacterial SSU rRNA". The stretch from base 1 to 351 matches the Rfam family "Eukaryotic small subunit ribosomal RNA", at positions 1483 to 1831 of the family's 1831-position model. The record is from RNAcentral. Lineage: Eukaryota; Fungi; Mucoromycota; Mucoromycetes; Mucorales; Rhizopodaceae.
UGGGCCGCACGCGCGCUACACUGAUGAAGUCAGCGAGUUGAUAACCUUGGCCGCACAGUCUGGGUAAACUUUUGAAACUUCAUCGUGCUGGGGAUAGAGCAUUGUAAUUAUUGCUCUUCAACGAGGAAUUCCUAGUAAGCGCAAGUCAUCAGCUGCGUUGAUUACGUCCCUGCCCUUUGUACACACCGCCCGUCGCUACUACCGAUUGAAUGGUUAUAGUGAGCAUAUGGGAUCAGUAGGAUUUGACUGGCAACAGUCAUUUCCUGCAGAGAACUAUGGCAAACUAGGCUAUUUAGAGGAAGUAAAAGUCGUAACAAGGUUUCCGUAGGUGAACCUGCGGAAGGAUCAUUAAUUAUGUUAAAGCGCCUUACCUUAGGGUUUCCUCUGGGGUAAGUGAUUGCUUCUACACUGUGAAAAUUUGGCUGAGAGACUCAGACUGGUCAUGGGUAGACCUAUCUGGGGUUUGAUCGAUGCCACUCCUGGUUUCAGGAGCACCCUUCAUAAUAAACCUAGAAAUUCAGUAUUAUAAAGUUUAAUAAAAAACAACUUUUAACAAUGGAUCUCUUGGUUCUCGCAUCGAUGAAGAACGUAGCAAAGUGCGAUAACUAGUGUGAAUUGCAUAUUCAGUGAAUCAUCGAGUCUUUGAACGCAGCUUGCACUCUAUGGUUUUUCUAUAGAGUACGCCUGCUUCAGUAUCAUCACAAACCCACACAUAACAUUUGUUUAUGUGGUAAUGGGUCGCAUCGCUGUUUUAUUACAGUGAGCACCUAAAAUGUGUGUGAUUUUCUGUCUGGCUUGCUAGGCAGGAAUAUUACGCUGGUCUCAGGAUCUUUUUCUUUGGUUUGCCCCGGAAGUAAAGUACAAGAG